AGUUUGAUCCUGGCUCAGGACGAACGCUGGCGGCGUGCCUAAUACAUGCAAGUCGAGCGGAUUGAUGGGAGCUUGCUCCCUGAUAUCAGCGGCGGACGGGUGAGUAACACGUGGGUAACCUGCCUGUAAGACUGGGAUAACUCCGGGAAACCGGGGCUAAUACCGGAUAACUCAUUUCCUCGCAUGAGGAAAUGUUGAAAGAUGGCUUCUUGCUAUCACUUACAGAUGGACCCGCGGCGCAUUAGCUAGUUGGUGAGGUAACGGCUCACCAAGGCAACGAUGCGUAGCCGACCUGAGAGGGUGAUCGGCCACACUGGGACUGAGACACGGCCCAGACUCCUACGGGAGGCAGCAGUAGGGAAUCUUCCGCAAUGGACGAAAGUCUGACGGAGCAACGCCGCGUGAGUGAUGAAGGUUUUCGGAUCGUAAAGCUCUGUUGUUAGGGAAGAACAAGUGCCGUUCGAAUAGGGCGGCACCUUGACGGUACCUAACCAGAAAGCCACGGCUAACUACGUGCCAGC
RNAcentral lists this ribosomal RNA (521 nucleotides) under Rossellomorea vietnamensis. Its description in RNAcentral is "bacterial SSU rRNA". It matches the Rfam family "Bacterial small subunit ribosomal RNA", at positions 10 to 512 of the family's 1533-position model. The record is from RNAcentral. Lineage: Bacteria; Bacillati; Bacillota; Bacilli; Caryophanales; Bacillaceae.